Molecule: long non-coding RNA, 3767 nt
Organism: Gasterosteus aculeatus aculeatus (three-spined stickleback)
Lineage: Eukaryota; Metazoa; Chordata; Actinopteri; Perciformes; Gasterosteidae
Source: Ensembl
GCAGCGCCCAGGCAGCCCCGGCGCGGCGUAAUAAAAAAGAAGAUGGAUGGCACACCCAGGCAGGGCUCGCGUUAAUGCGAUUUCCACUGCUCUCCCUGACUCCCAAUUAAGGCUGGGAGGGAAGGGUGGGGUGGUGGGGAGGAGGAGGAGGAGGAGGAGGAGGAGGGAGAGAGAUGUGCAGCCCACGGAGAGGGGAAAUGCAGCUUGUUUGGAACAAAACAAAAAAAUUAAAAAUUAAAGAAGAGUUGUGCUGAGGAUGGCGCGAGAAGGAGAGACCGAGAAGUAGAGGAGGAAGGAGUAGCAGUGUGAGGACAGGAAGGGGCCGGGGGAGGUGGAUGCACCGGCAUGUGAAGAGGAUGGAUGUCCCUCAGGAUGAGGCAGGAGUGACAGGAACAAAGUGGAGGCACCACAUCAGAAGAAGCAGCUUUAAUUGUCUGCAGAGCUCAUCUGCCCCCCCCCCCCCCCUCUCUUACUCUUACUCACAUCUCAAUCAGGGCCAUGUCUCAGAGGCUCAUAGGGUUAUCAGGUGUCUCUGCGGCCCGGUGGAACACCAAUAGCGCCAUUCAAACGGCGGCAGCAGUGAACUAAACCGCUUUCUUUUUCUCUCUUUACGCGUGUUUUCGACAGGUAUAGGCUUUUCUUGAUUAGCGGUAUCGGGCGUGUUGUGAAGGUCCUGCACGCUCCACUGGUUCUCUAUCGGCCCGGGACUCAAGGGCUGCUCCCUAAAUCAGCUCUUAUAAAAACAGAGCUGACAGACAGCCGAUGGCUUAUAGAGAUGAGCUACAACCCUGUCCUCCAGGAGGACUGUUCCAUCCAAGGACCCAGAUGUUAUCUCUUUGCUAAAAGGAUCAGCGCAGGAUAUUGAGAAAUCUCCUCAGGAUGAGAGGGCAUCUGUGCCCGAAUACCCAAGGGCUACUGUUUUGUCACUCUGACAGUGUUUUAUAAAAGGCUGAGGAAGCUGCGAAGACUACAGAAGCGAGGGCAAUAUAUCUCCCGCUAUUACAUCUAGGCUAGGUAGAGAGGGUUGAAAUGACAAUGAAAUAUAGCCCUGCCUCAAAGGGAGAAAAAGAACAGGGUCUAAAGAGGGACGGCUGCGUCUCCCCGGCAGCCUGCAGGGGCUGUGCUCCAAAUCAGAGACAGAUGCACAAAAAUCCCCGACACCAACGCUGUGCUAUACUGCGGGAAAGAAGUCCAAUGAGAGGACAGCCUCUCUGUGCCUUUGCUGAUAUUAGUUGGAAAGAACAAGGAGAAAUUAGAGCCCUGCGGGAAGAAAGGACAAGAGAGGAGGCGAAAGGGUGGUAAAAUCCAAACUCUGCAAGGACCCCUACAUCAUUAAGUUGUCAAGUGGACGGGAGGUCCCCCGAAAUAUGACUUGGAGUUAUUGCUGUGGCUGGGGCUGAUGAUAUAAGAAUUACAGUACAUGGAUCAUAGCCGGAUCGAUAGGUAGACAAAGUCAUUAUGGAGGGGCUAGAGUUCAAUGCCUCCCUGGGGCUGCGAGCCGGGACAGAGGGCUUAAAUUUAUCACCGUAGCAAUGUGUAACACACAGGACACACAGGUGGGUGGCCGUGCAGUUAUAUUUCGCUUGUUGCCCUUUAUUUCCUAAGCUAUCCGUUCCCGCCGUAUUGAUCGUCUGAGUCGUCAGCGACUGCAGGAAUGGAGCUCUGCUUGUGUGCCUUGACUUGGCCUUUAUUUGUCAAUGUGUUUGCACCCCGCGAAAGGAUGUCCGCACGUAUGUGUGUUUACAGGUAAGCUAAACGUCUUGGCGCAUGCACAUCACUCAGCGGUGAACAUUUGUCCUUCCUCUCUCUCUGCAGCAGAGGGAUGGGGAGCACGUGCAGGGCAGCAUCGAUCCUUUCUGUGCCGGGAGAAAUUAGGCAUGAAAUUAAAGCUCCCAUCAAAGGCCAGGGCCGGCCGGCACUGUCACCUGAUCCAGCACUAUUUAUACUCCCGGGAGAUGAUGAUGAUGAUGAUGAUGUCUCCAUCAAGCUGAUGAUAACAGGACAGAGAGAAGAGAGAGAGAGAGAGACAGAGGUGGAGAAAGAGUCCCUCCCCACCAUCCACAGUGCCACUGACCUGCCAUCUUUUAUACUGCCAGGGCCCAAGUGCAAGGUUAGCGCCGGUCUGAGCCCCCCAUAAAUCACCGCUCUGCUGGACGGAGAGAGGCCGAGGUCGACGCCUCUCGCGGCCACGGCUCUGCUGGUGAGAGAGUAUUUAUAGAUCGGGAGGGAGGCAGGGAGACAGGAAGGACGGGUGUCUAAGUGGCUCACGUGGAAGUGCGCGCACGGAAACAAAGACAUGACCGAAAAUAUUCAUCUGAAUCACAUCCACUUGUGCUUCAGCGUGGAUUGCAAGUUAGCCCGUAAGGUGAGAUGUUUAGCAGUGACGCAAAGUCGGUGGGCGCAGAUGUCACACAGGGGUGUGAGGAGACAGUAGGGGGAGCCCAUUAACCACACACCAGACCCCGGACGUCCUUCACACUGACACGCUGCAGCUCAAACACCAAGUCCUUGGUCCUCGCUAUGACACAUUGCCAAAUGGUAAAAACUACACAGACAGCCUGUCGGUCACAGCCAGUUAGGGACUUUUACAUGAAAUCUACAAGUUGAAACGCAUAUUUCCUCCUGUCACAUUCUGUUGUCCCUGCCAAGCACAGUGUUUUGACACCAGUGUACCGAGGGGCCUGCACGGUGCCGUAAUGACCAGUGGCCAAAGGCAGUCACGUCUAAACACUGGGUUAAAGUUCACCACAAGACGACUGACUCUGUGCCUCACGCCGUCCGCCUCGCCAGCUAAAAUAAACUGUGGCUCUGCGGUGGAAGAAAGAAUAACUAUAAAAAAAGAUGGUUUUCAGGAUCAUUGCUGAUUGUGUCAGUUCUCAUGAGAGGUGGGACGGUGAUCUGGAUGUUUACCCAGAGUUGUUUUUGAUUGGUGUGUGUGUGCACGUAUGUGUGUGUGUCAGCAGCCUGGAGGUCAGAAAAGAAGGCUUGUGAUUGGUUACAAACUUAAUUGGCCGGAUUUGGAAAGAAGGUGGAGUGAAGUUACUGUCCAACACAAAUGUAUUAAAUAAUGAGUCUUUUUUUUUAAUGUAUUAUAUUCUCAAAUACUGCUACAAUUUUACCAAACCGCUAGAUUUCAAAGGAGUUUUUUACAUUUAUUAGACAGCUGUAGUAAUUUUACAGAGCUAAAGAAGUCGAAAUUAGCAUUAGGUCAAAUGAUGACUUGUGUUACCAUUAUGUUGAGAUAAAUAGUUUUUUUUGAAUGAAUGACAAUUUGGAAUUUUUAACUGUUUGAACUGUCUGACACAAAACACAUUAAGCAGAUGUGAGCUUUGCCUUUGUUUUUUUAAUUGAUUUAAUCUUCCCUUUAACAUCUUGUUUGCAUACUUGUUUUACAUUUGGUUGGGUUUCCAUACAAGAAAUAUAUUAAAAGCUUCACUGCUUCAAGCUUUGCUUUCAUCCAACUGACUUUAGAAAACUAGGAGUCAUAAUAAUAACAGUGCGCUGCUUGUUUUUGAACCUUUAAAGUCAGAAAGAGGAACCCACACAAAUGCACUGGAGGCCAAUUUCCUUCCACCUCAACCCUUGAAUUUACUUUCACAAUCACAAGACAAAAUCCCCCACCCGGCCCAGCCAACACCCCUCGGCCCACGAGGGUCCUAUCGGUCUGAGUGGCAGAUAGGAGGGGUGUUUGAUCGAUAAGCACCACCCUCCCCUCAGCUCACUGACAGGUCCUGUCAAGUAUCCAGCAGGACGCGUAUCAUAUGGAU